UUCCGGUUGAUCCUGCCGGAGGCCAUUGCUAUCGGGGUCCGAUUUAGCCAUGCUAGUCGUGCGGGUUCAGACCCGCGGCAAACAGCUCAGUAACACGUGGCCAAACUACCCUACGGAUCGGGAUAACCUCGGGAAACUGAGGCUAAUCCUGAAUAACGGCCCUACGCUGGAAUGCGAGGGACGUGAAACGCUCCGGCGCCGUAGGACGUGGCUGCGGCCGAUUAGGUAGACGGUGGGGUAACGGCCCACCGUGCCGAUAAUCGGUACGGGUCAUGAGAGUGAGAGCCCGGAGAUGGAUUCUGAGACAAGAAUCCAGGCCCUACGGGGCGCAGCAGGCGCGAAACCUUUACACUGCACGCCAGUGCGAUAGGGGGACCCCGAGUGCGAGGGCAUACAGUCCUCGCUUUUCUGUACCGUAAGGUGGUACAGGAAUAAGGGCUGGGCAAGACCGGUGCCAGCCGCCGCGGUAAUACCGGCAGCUCAAGUGAUGGCCACUAUUAUUGGGCCUAAAGCGUCCGUAGCUGGCCGAACAAGUCCGUCGGGAAAUCCAUCCGCCUAACGGAUGGGCGUCCGGCGGAAACUGUCCGGCUUGGGGCCGGAAGACCCGAGGGGUACGUCCGGGGUAGGAGUGAAAUCCUGUAAUCCUGAACGGACCGCCGGUGGCGAAAGCGCCUCGGGAGGACGGACCCGACAGUGAGGGACGAAAGCUGGGAUCUCGAACCGGAUUAGAUACCCGGGUAGUCCCAGCCGUAAACGAUGCCCGCUAGGUGUGCCGCAGGCUACGAGCCUGCGCUGUGCCGUAGGGAAGCCGUGAAGCGGGCCGCCUGGGAAGUACGUCCGCAAGGAUGAAACUUAAAGGAAUUGGCGGGGGAGCACUACAACCGGAGGAGCCUGCGGUUCAAUUGGACUCAACGCCGGU
RNAcentral lists this ribosomal RNA (919 nucleotides) under uncultured archaeon. Its description in RNAcentral is "bacterial SSU rRNA". It matches the Rfam family "Archaeal small subunit ribosomal RNA", at positions 1 to 922 of the family's 1478-position model. The record is from RNAcentral.